AACGAACGUUGGCGGCGUGGAUUAGGCAUGCAAGUCGAACGAAUCCCCGGCGGGGGUAACUCUGCCGGGGGGAAGUGGCGAAAGGGGCAGUAAGGCGUGGCUAACCUACCCCGGGGAUGGGCAUAGCCUCCCUAACGGGAGGGUAAUUCCCAGCGAUCUGGUUAGGGGGCAUCCCCCGACCAGGAAACGAAUCUCGCCUCGGGACGGGGUCACGUGAUAUUAGCUCGUUGGCGGGGUAACGGCCCACCAAGGCUCAGAUGUCUAGCGGGUGUGAGAGCACGACCCGCGCCACUGGCACUGCGACACUGGCCAGACUCCUACGGGAGGCUGCAGUCGAGGAUCUUCGGCAAUGGGCGCAAGCCUGACCGAGCGACGCCGCGUGGGCGAUGAAGGCCUUCGGGUUGUAAAGCCCUGUCGCGGGGGAGGAAAGCCGCAAGGUUUGACCGACCCCGGGAGGAAGCACGGGCUAAGUUCGUGCCAGCCGCCGCAGUAACAC
Molecule: ribosomal RNA, 496 nt
Filed under: uncultured bacterium
Lineage: Bacteria
Description: bacterial SSU rRNA
Rfam family: Bacterial small subunit ribosomal RNA
Source: RNAcentral